UGAUUUGGCUAUGAAAUAAGAGGAAUUAUAUAUAUAUAUAGAGUUGAGCUAGAAUACUCUCGAUAGUAAACGGGGCGUUUUACUAUCGAGUUGUUUUCGAUGAUAGAGCUUCCAAAUUGACGAUCGGCUCCGUUGAACAUGAUGUAUACCACUUGAAGUGUUUAGAAAUCAAAUUUCAAAUCUUUUCGACAUCAUUUGCCUAAUGAUCAAAGGGUUUCAAAAUUUGUAAUUUUAAUGGUGGAUAAGAGACGUUUUCUCGUUUAACGGUGUAAAGAUAUCCAAAUCAAUUGAAUUUUUGUUAGAAAAUUCUUUAAACUAUUUAAAACAAGAUCAAUAUCU
RNAcentral lists this long non-coding RNA (339 nucleotides) under Ananas comosus (pineapple). Its description in RNAcentral is "long non-coding RNA (ACOM_LNC033864)". The record is from RNAcentral. Lineage: Eukaryota; Viridiplantae; Streptophyta; Magnoliopsida; Poales; Bromeliaceae.